RNAcentral lists this unclassified non-coding RNA (383 nucleotides) under soil metagenome. RNAcentral describes it as "partial contains 5.8S ribosomal RNA, internal transcribed spacer 2, and large subunit ribosomal RNA". The stretch from base 1 to 120 matches the Rfam family "5.8S ribosomal RNA", at positions 35 to 154 of the family's 154-position model. The record is from RNAcentral.
GAUGAAGAACGUAGCGAAAUGCGAUAAGUAAUGUGAAUUGCAGAAUUCAGUGAAUCAUCGAAUCUUUGAACGCACCUUGCACCCUUUGGCAUUCCGAAGGGUAUGCUCGUUUGAGUGUCAUUGUACUCUCACUCUCCCGAUGCUUUUGGAUCGGGAGUGGUGGACUUGGGUGUUGCUGCUUUGCUGUGGCUCGCCUCAAAUGGAGUAGUGCAACUCUUGGUUGGACAUAGUACGGCGUGAUAAGUGUCUUCGCCGGCGCCUCAUUAUAGAGGGUGGCCGAUCGGGAGCUCUGUGCUUCAAACCGUCUUCGGACAACAUCUGACAACUUGACCUCAAAUCGAGUAGGACUACCCGCUGAACUUAAGCAUAUCAAUAGCGGAGGA